RNAcentral lists this ribosomal RNA (305 nucleotides) under uncultured bacterium. RNAcentral describes it as "bacterial SSU rRNA". It matches the Rfam family "Bacterial small subunit ribosomal RNA", at positions 333 to 635 of the family's 1533-position model. The record is from RNAcentral.
CAGGUCCUACGGGACGCAGCAGUGAGGAAUAUUGGUCAAUGGGCGCGAGCCUGAACCAGCCAAGUAGCGUGAAGGAUGACUGCCCUACGGGUUGUAAACUUCUUUUAUAAAGGAAUAAAGUGAGGCACGUGUGCCUUUUUGUAUGUACUUUAUGAAUAAGGAUCGGCUAACUCCGUGCCAGCAGCCGCGGUAAUACGGAGGAGCCGAGCGUUAUCCGGAUUUAUGGGGUUUAAAGGGAGCGUAGAUGGGUUGUUAAGUCAGUUGUGGAAGUUUGCGGCUCAACCGGAAAAUUGCAUUUGAUAGUG